AUGAACGCUGGCGGCGUGCCUAAUACCUGCAAGUAGAACGCUGAAGGAGGAGCUUGCUCUUCUGUUUGAGUUGCGAACGGUUGAUUAACGCGUAGGUAACCUGCCUGGUAGCGGGGGAUCACUAUUUGAAACGAUAGCUAAUACCGCAUGACAACAGUUAUUGCAUGAUAACUGUUUAAAAGGGGCAACUGCUCCACUACCAGAUGGACCUGCGUUGUAUUAGCUAGUUGGUGAGGUAACGGCUCACCAAGGCGACGAUACAUAGACGACCUGUGAGGGUGAUAGGCCAAACUGGGACUGAGACACGGCCCAGACUCCUACGGGAGGCAGCAGGAGGGAAGCAUAGGCAAAGGACGGAAGGCUGAACGAGGAACGCCGCGUGAGGGAAGAAGGGUUUCGGAUUGUAAAGCUCGGUUGUAAGAGAAGAAAGAGUGGGAGAGUGGAAAGUUCACACUGUGACGGUAUCUUAACAGAAAGGGACGGCUAACUACGUG
RNAcentral lists this ribosomal RNA (494 nucleotides) under uncultured bacterium. RNAcentral describes it as "partial 16S ribosomal RNA". It matches the Rfam family "Bacterial small subunit ribosomal RNA", at positions 29 to 507 of the family's 1533-position model. The record is from RNAcentral.